This 497-nucleotide ribosomal RNA is filed under the name uncultured bacterium. Its description in RNAcentral is "partial 16S ribosomal RNA". It matches the Rfam family "Bacterial small subunit ribosomal RNA", at positions 28 to 507 of the family's 1533-position model. The record is from RNAcentral.
GACGAACGCUGGCGGCGUGCCUAAUACAUGCAAGUAGAACGCUGAAGAGAGGAGCUUGCUCUUCUUGGCUGAGUUGCGAACGGGUGAGUAACGCGUAGGUAACCUGCCUUGUAGCGGGGGAUAACUAUUGGAAACGAUAGCUAAUACCGCAUAACAAUGGAUGACACAUGUCAUUUAUUUGAAAGGGGCAAUUGCUCCACUACAAGAUGGACCUGCGUUGUAUUAGCUAGUAGGUGAGGUAAUGGCUCACCUAGGCGACGAUACAUAGCCGACCUGGGAGGGUGAUCGGCCACACUGGGACUGAGACACGGCCCAGACUGCUGCGGGAGGCAGCAGUAGGGAAUCUUCGGCAAUGGGGGCAACGCUGACCGGGCAACGCCGCGUGAGUGGAGAAGGGUUUCGGAUCGUAAAGCUCUGUUGUAAGUCAAGAACGGGGGUGAGAGUGGAAAGUUCACACUGUGACGGUAGCUUACCAGAAAGGGACGGCUAACUACGUG